RNAcentral lists this unclassified non-coding RNA (4751 nucleotides) under Acanthaster planci (crown-of-thorns starfish). RNAcentral describes it as "extracellular serine proteinase-like, transcript variant X3". Lineage: Eukaryota; Metazoa; Echinodermata; Asteroidea; Valvatida; Acanthasteridae. The record is from RNAcentral.
UUUCAUUUGGCUUUUUUCUGUUUACCGUCACUUUUGCUAUUUUACCAGAACUUCUAAAUAUUUGAAAAUCAAGCAUUUAAAAGGUACUCUCAAACUUUCCAAGGUUCAGCUUGCCUGCUGAUUUCCACCUCAAAUAUGGUACAGAAAUGUGAAAUAUCUGGUUUCCCCAAGAAGACGUGACUAGUGCUGGAAUCUACUCGACUCGCAUCGACCUUUGUGACGUCAUGAAAAUAACAAAGUCUCCUGAUAUACAUGUAUAUGUCCAAAGUAGGGAGCCACUGGAAUUGUCUCGGUGAAAGUUAUCUUUGUGAUCAGAGCCACCUGUCCUGUUUCCACUUCCCUCGAUUACUGUGGCUCUUUCAAUGUUUUUCCCUUUUUAACUGGGCAUUUUAAGCUGUGUCACCCAUGUAGAAUCCAGAAAUAGUUUGUAAAGAAAAAUGAAGUCGCCUUUGUUGUGAAGAUGCUGAAGUAAUUUCUUCAGAGUGGAGAGGUUUACAUACAAGGGGAAUUCGGGGUUAUUAUGUUGCUUUUGCUCCAAUUUCUCACUUGUCCUGGCUUUCAUAGUGCAGGGUUAGGCUACCAAGUCGGGUGACUGCAGACUGGCUAUCAAGAUAUUGAUGAUUUCUUAUUUUUUGCAGUAAGGGUGCAGAGCAGACAGACUUGGAAUUUCCGAGCAGAAAGAGCCUGUUAUUAAUUUUAUUAUUCAGUGGUGUAUGUCUGUUCAAGACAGUUCACAAACACAUGAUUAACUUCAAGAUAAGUGCUUCGGGCAAUGGUACGUUUUUUGCCCGUCUAAAGGUACUUGCCCUUUAUCGUAACCUUUUUUCUCGACAUGAAGUUCCUUUGGACUUGUUCAGGAUCGAAAACUGUAGCAUAACAUGGGACAUUGUGCAGCAGAAAGAAUUUGGAAGGUUAACCCUAACCUCCGAAGGUUUAUGUAAAAUUAUAUUUAACUCUGAGGAUUUUGGAAUUUUAACUAAAGUAGAGAAUCAAGAAUAAAAUUGAAACCAGAGAGCUGCCCAAAAUGAAAGAUUGUCUGAGCAAAAGGAAAAAGUCAUUCAAAAGGUCAAGUUCACAGUCAUGGUUUCCAGCGUGAAAAUAAUAUGGAAAUGAGAGGGUUUCCCAAUGGAUCUGAAACCACAAUGACUUGACAAAUUUAGGCACAUAGUUCAAACGGAUCAGUAAUUGCGUGAUAGUUUAUAUCUUAAUGCUGUGUGUUUAGCAAUUGAGAGAUAACUAACUUCGGUGAGUUGACGAAGAUUGGCACAUGAGGCAUUGAGAACAUCAACACCUGGCUUUGUUUCCCUAGUUUUAAAUUCACUUUUUGGUGGUCACCAAAUUACUUUGCUUGUUUGCGUCAGUAGCGUCAGUAGACUGGAAGUUAUCCUGCACUGUGUAAGUUAAAGUCAAUUUCCAUUGGUCUGUUUAUCAAAACCAAAAACCCCAAAUUCAAUUAUUAGGCAUAAAUUUGUUGCUUCACAUUUCUUAGAACAUUUGAUGACUAAUCAUACCACUUUGUUUCUGUUUAUUUCUUGUUCAGUUCAUCUGUUUUAAAUGUUUCUCAAAGUGGUGUUUAGUUUGGCUCCUCCAAAAAGAUGACAGAAAUAUGCUAUCUGAAAUUUCAGCAUCCACUGGUGAUUUUUAAAAUCUUUUCAAUGCAACUGAUGACAUGAUUUACAUAAUCCCCAGUGUGCGAUUUCUUUCUGUUGGCACCCUUAAAUUUCUCCCAGUUAGUAUUGUUUCUAGUCUUAUUUUUUUCAAACCCUGCAUCUUUGUGAUUCCUUACAACUUGUCCAACCUUUCUCCCAUGUAGAUCUGCCAAGUGAGCCUUCAAGAUGCGCCUUUUCCUUCUUUUUGCUCUUGUUGUCUGUGCCGUGGCCGACAUAGCUCCCCUCUACACACAUCUGGUAGAUGGAAUUCAGGGCCAGUAUAUUGUGGCCCUCACGGAAGAGAGCCGAACUGUGGAUGAAUUCAUAGCCAGCUUUGACAAGGCUAGUGCCAGCGUCUCCAUCAUACCAAAGAUCCGCUAUCGAGACGGUGCCUUCAAGGGAUUCGCUGCUCAAAUGAGCACUGUCCAGCUAGCUGAAAUCCGUAAAAUGCCAGAAGUUGCCUACGUGGAGCAGGACUCUGUCGUCCGUGCUCUCUGGGUGGCCUCCUGGGGUCUGGACCGCGUGGACCAGAGGACACUUCCAUUGAACGGAAAGGCAAUCUUCCACGGUACCGGCAAAGGCACCAAUGCCUACAUCAUCGACACAGGGGUCUAUCCCAAGAACCUCUUUUUCUCAGACCGUGCCUACAUCGCAUACGAUGCAGUCAAAGAUAAGUAUGGGGGACUGGACUGCAACGGGCAUGGAACUCACUGCGCCGGGACCGUGGGUGGGGAAGUGUUUGGCAUCGCCAGGGAAGCCAACCUCUUUGGGGUGAAGGUGCUGGGAUGCGGCGGAUCAGGAACAACCGCUGGUGUCAUUGACGGAAUGGACUUUGUUGCCAAGGAGGGCGAGCGGCCGGCCGUCGCCUCUAUGUCUCUCGGUGGAGGGGCCUCCACAGCCAUGGACGAAGCUGUCGCCAGGCUCUUCGAUGCGGAUGUCACAGUGUCCGUCGCCGCCGGUAACAGUUACGGGGAUGCAUGCAGCUCUUCCCCAGCCAGAGCAAAGGAGGCCAUCACUGUUGGGGCCACGGACAUAGAGGACCAGAAGGCUGCCUUCUCCAACUAUGGGAAGUGCGUAGACAUCUUUGCACCAGGCGUCGACAUUCCGAGCCUAUGGAUAGAUGGCACACAUGCCGUCAACACGAUCAGUGGGACAUCCAUGGCAUGCCCUCAUGUCACAGGUGGAGCUAUCCUUGCUGUUGGCAAUAACCCUGAGCUGACAUCCGCCCAAGUCAAAGCCAAGAUUUUGGACAAUGGCACACGGGACGUGGUCAAGAACCCUGGACCAGAGUCGCCUAAUCUCAUGUUGUACAUCCCGUGAAACAAGAGGAGGGAGGUCCAGCCACAAGGAUACAACAUGCACCAUCCGAGAAGACCAGAAGGGAAUUAACAAAUUCACAGUUCACUCCAAGCGCAUCAUGGGAAAUUAACGAGCAGAAGGCCAGCGCAGAGCACAGUUACAAGUAAUCAGAUACCGUCUUGUUCUGUGGAGUCACUCAUCGCAGACGACGUCUGUUUCCCGCGGUCGCAAGGAAUAACAAGAGCGUGGAAUUGAGGAUGGGAAUGCAUGCUGGAAAAUGUGACGAAUGAUAGCGCGUAGUGGGACUUUACGUUCGGCCAGAAUUAAACGGAGGGUGUAAUCGUUAAUGUAAAACUGAUUGGCCGCGUGAGAAGAGUGUAACGAAGGUGACAUUUUAACACCAGGAUGAAAUCCUACAGGCACCCGUGGACCGAACUGUGUUUGAAAGUCUGAACCCUGGAUAAAGUCCGAUCAGAUUGAAUUUAGACCCACGGAAUGAAGUUUGCAUACACGGAGGGCAUAGGCAGGUGGAAUACUUCACGUCAAGCAUUCAACCCUUGAAAAAUGGCGCCCUCUGCACGCAUACUGCUUUUCAUCGUGUUCAUUCUGGCGAUUCAUUUGACGGAACCAAAGGAUGGCUACAAUGGGUUGGCAAAAGGAAAGCGUCGGUUCUCUUCACGCUCGCGAAGAACGUAUACUUCCACUUACCGGAGUAGCGGUACUACAUAUUACAGCAGAGGUGGUGGUAGCAUGCCCUGGUGGCAGAUCGUUCUCAUCGUAGGAGGAACCAUAGUACUCUUCCUCUUAAUGUAUUGCUGCUAUCGGGCGUUAAAAGGACCCAGAGAGCCCCGGUCAGACACUCCCGGCAUCCAGACCACGCGAGACCAUGUCCAGCUCACGGAUCACCAGCCUAUCCAGCAGCCGUACCCCGCUGCCCAGUACCACCAGGUAAGCACGUCGGACGGCCGGGAGGUUCCGCCACCGGUCCACAUGCACCAGAGCCCGGCCUAUCCGCCGCCGUUACCGCAGCAGCAACAGCAGCCGCUGUACCCGCCGGCGAUCGCGACGGCGCCUCCGCCCUCUUACGACGACGCGCUGGUGAUUUCCAAGGAGCCAGUCGGCGAGGGCGCCCCCGACCGGUGGGAAGACGAACCCGAGAUCAACAGGAAAGAAUUCGGGGUUAUUUGAUCCAAUUCAAAGGGACACACUUUAAAGGAACUGGAAAUUAUAACCUUCUUCAAUUUUUAACAGUAGGAACCUACUUAUCAAUAGUGUGGAGUUUUUUUUCACCUUCCUCGCCAAUGGAGUUUCGCACUUGCUCAGCCGUACUUGUCUAGAAUCUGCAUGUCAUAAUAAUAGUGAUUAUCAUGUUUUGUGAAAUCAUAGAACUUCGCCAGAACUUGCAGUGUACCAUGUACAGCACCAUUUUAAGCCUCGUUUUUCCCUUGUCUUUUUAACUGAUGUUUAGACGUCCAUUUGAAUUGUGUGCACGUAUCAAUUAAAGUUGAGGACUGUUGGUUCCACUUUCUAGGAUAUUUCCUUUGCAGAAUUGUUUAUUGCCAAAUUACAAGCCUUUUGGUCAGUACUGCUGUUUUCCUUUAUUAAUUAACGCAUGAUAACAUUAAAGGUUGAAAUAAUUCCAAAGGUUGAUAUUGUAAUUUUGUUCUCUUUUCAGGCUUCAAUUUGUAAUUAAGUUAAGCAUGUGCUGGUAUAAGGCCCAGACUUGAGUUCUGUUCAUAACUCGGGUUAUUGAUUUAUUACUUUUUAUGAAAUAAAUCUGUUAAUAGUUAAGCUCGCUGAGAA